AGUGGGGAAUAUUGGACAAUGGGCGAAAGCCUGAUCCAGCCAUGCCGCGUGAGUGAUGAAGGCCUUAGGGUUGUAAAGCUCUUUCAGUAGGGAAGAUAAUGACGGUACCUACAGAAGAAGCCCCGGCUAACUUCGUGCCAGCAGCCGCGGUAAUACGAAGGGGGCUAGCGUUGUUCGGAUUUACUGGGCGUAAAGCGCACGUAGGCGGAUCGUUAAGUCGGGGGUGAAAUCCUGGAGCUCAACUCCAGAACUGCCUUCGAUACUGGCGAUCUUGAGUCCGGAAGAGGUGAGUGGAACUCCUAGUGUAGAGGUGGAAUUCGUAGAUAUUAGGAAGAACACCAGUGGCGAAGGCGGCUCACUGGUCCGGUACUGACGCUGAGGUGCGAAAGCGUGGGGAGCAAA
RNAcentral lists this ribosomal RNA (402 nucleotides) under uncultured Devosia sp. RNAcentral's name for it is "bacterial SSU rRNA". It matches the Rfam family "Bacterial small subunit ribosomal RNA", at positions 353 to 772 of the family's 1533-position model. Lineage: Bacteria; Pseudomonadati; Pseudomonadota; Alphaproteobacteria; Hyphomicrobiales; Devosiaceae. The record is from RNAcentral.